UACGGAGGGUGCAAGCGUUAUCCGGAUUCACUGGGUUUAAAGGGUGCGUAGGCGGGUAUGUAAGUCAGGGGUGAAAGCCCGGAGCUCAACUCCGGAACUGCCAUUGAAACUGUUUAGCUUGAGGAUGAGAGAGGUGAGUGGAAUUCCCAGUGUAGAGGUGAAAUUCGUAGAUAUUGGGAAGAACACCGGUGGCGAAGGCGGCUCACUGGCUCAUUACUGACGCUCAGGCGCGAUAGCGUGGGGAUCAAACAGG
Molecule: ribosomal RNA, 253 nt
Filed under: uncultured bacterium
Lineage: Bacteria
Description: partial 16S ribosomal RNA
Rfam family: Bacterial small subunit ribosomal RNA
Source: RNAcentral